AUACCAGCAGAGUAGUUAUUCACAUAGCAGUCAAGAUGGAUCAUCCAAAGGUCUUGGUACUCCUCUCCAGUCUUUCUCUACUGUUCUUAGCUUUUAGGAUGUUGUGGACAGAAUUGCACACUUUCUGGGAUGGCAUGCCUGCUUCUUGACUGUCGGCUUAAGAGCCUUGCCAGGAAAGCUAACAGCAGGAAAUGCUGCUGGAUAACUCAUUCACAGGAGUUCUGUAGGCAAAGAGCAUGGUUGACAAAUUCCCACAGAUUUCAUGCAAGCUGCAGGAUAACUGAAGUUUUUAUUGUUCAUGUUUUCCCUUCUUCCCUAAGUACUGGAGGUCCUAGCUCCUGAGCUUC
Long non-coding RNA from Pezoporus occidentalis (night parrot), 347 nucleotides. RefSeq lists it as uncharacterized. The record is from RefSeq and is a predicted model, not a curated record. Lineage: Eukaryota; Metazoa; Chordata; Aves; Psittaciformes; Psittacidae. The transcript has 3 exons.